CCUACGGGAGGCAGCAGUGGGGAAUAUUGCACAAUGGGGGAAACCCUGAUGCAGCGACGCCGCGUGAGUGAAGAAGUAUUUCGGUAUGUAAAGCUCUAUCAGCAGGGAAGAAAUAAAGUCCUUCGGACUUUGGACGGUACCUGACUAAGAAGCCCCGGCUAACUACGUGCCAGUAGCCGCGGUAAUACGUAGGGGGCAAGCGUUAUCCGGAUUUACUGGGUGUAAAGGGAGCGUAGACGGCAGCGCAAGUCUGGAGUGAAAUCCCAUGGCUUAACCAUGGAACUGCUUUGGAAACUGUGCAGCUGGAGUGCAGUAGAGGUAAGCGGAAUUCCUAGUGUAGCGGUGGAAUGCGUAGAUAUUAGGAGGAACACCAGUGGCGAAGGCGGCUUACUGGACUGUAACUGACGUUGAGGCUCGAAAGCGUGGGGAGCAAACAGGAUUAGAUACCCCUGUAGUC
This 457-nucleotide ribosomal RNA is filed under the name uncultured bacterium. Its description in RNAcentral is "partial 16S ribosomal RNA". It matches the Rfam family "Bacterial small subunit ribosomal RNA", at positions 338 to 795 of the family's 1533-position model. The record is from RNAcentral.